Molecule: ribosomal RNA, 465 nt
Filed under: uncultured Klebsiella sp.
Lineage: Bacteria; Pseudomonadati; Pseudomonadota; Gammaproteobacteria; Enterobacterales; Enterobacteriaceae
Description: bacterial SSU rRNA
Rfam family: Bacterial small subunit ribosomal RNA
Source: RNAcentral
CCUACGGGGGGCAGCAGUGGGGAAUAUUGCACAAUGGGCGCAAGCCUGAUGCAGCCAUGCCGCGUGUGUGAAGAAGGCCUUCGGGUUGUAAAGCACUUUCAGCGGGGAGGAAGGCGGUGAGGUUAAUAACCUCAUCGAUUGACGUUACCCGCAGAAGAAGCAACGGCUAACUCCGUGCCAGCAGCCGCGGUAAUACGGAGGGUGCAAGCGUUAAUCGGAAUUACUGGGCGUAAAGCGCACGCAGGCGGUCUGUCGAGUCGGAUGUGAAAUCCCCGGGCUCAACCUGGGAACUGCAUUCGAAACUGGCAGGCUAGAGUCUUGUAGAGGGGGGUAGAAUUCCAGGUGUAGCGGUGAAAUGCGUAGAGAUCUGGAGGAAUACCGGUGGCGAAGGCGGCCCCCUGGACAAAGACUGACGCUCAGGUGCGAAAGCGUGGGGAGCAAACAGGAUUAGAUACCCCUGUAGUC